This 88-nucleotide transfer RNA is filed under the name Thermoprotei archaeon. Its description in RNAcentral is "tRNA-Val". It matches the Rfam family "tRNA". From Rfam's summary of the family: Transfer RNA (tRNA) molecules are approximately 80 nucleotides in length. Their secondary structure includes four short double-helical elements and three loops (D, anti-codon, and T loops). The record is from RNAcentral. Lineage: Archaea; Thermoproteati; Thermoproteota; Thermoprotei.
GGGCCUGUAGUCUAACCUGGUAGGAUAUCGAAAGACCUAAUGCCGCCCUUACACGGCAGAGGUUCCGGUUCAAAUCCGGACAGGCCCA